GAUGAACGCUGGCGGCGUGGAUAAGGCAUGCAAGUCGAACGAACCCUUCGGGGUGAGUGGCGAACGAGGUAGUAACACGUGGGAACCUACCCCUUAGUCAGGAAUAACCAUGGGAAACCAUGGCUAAUACCUGAUAGUCUCUUCGGAGUAAAGAUUUAUCGCUAAGGGAAGGGCCUGCGGGAUAUCAGCUUGUUGGUAGUGUAAUGGACUACCAAGGCUAUGACGUCUAGGGGAGCUGAGAGGCUGACCCCCACCGAUGGUACUGAGACACGGACCAUACACCUACGGGUGGCCGCAGUCGAGAAUCUUCCGCAAUGGGCGAAAGCCUGACGGAGCGACGCCGCGUGAUGGAUGAAGUUUUUCGGAAUGUAAACAUCUUUUCUGGAGGAGGAAUUUUAUUGACGUUACUCCAGGAAUAAGGGGUUGCUAAACUCG
Molecule: ribosomal RNA, 435 nt
Filed under: uncultured bacterium
Lineage: Bacteria
Description: bacterial SSU rRNA
Rfam family: Bacterial small subunit ribosomal RNA
Source: RNAcentral